RNAcentral lists this ribosomal RNA (402 nucleotides) under Nematoda environmental sample. Its description in RNAcentral is "SSU rRNA". It matches the Rfam family "Eukaryotic small subunit ribosomal RNA", at positions 29 to 436 of the family's 1831-position model. The record is from RNAcentral. Lineage: Eukaryota; Metazoa; Nematoda.
UGCUUGUCUCAAAGAUUAAGCCAUGCAUGUCUAAGCAGAGCCCUUGAAUGGUAAAGCCGCGAAUGGCUCAUUACAACAGCCACAGUUUAUUGGGUCUCCAUUUACUCGGAUAACUGAGCUAAUUGUUGAGCUAAUACACGCACCAAAGCUUCGACCUCACGGGAGGAGCGCAUUUAUUAGAACAAAACCAAUCGGACUUCGGUCCGUCCAUUGGUGAAUCUAAAUAACUUAGCCGAUCGCAUGGUCUCGCACCGGCGACUCACCUUUCAAAUGUCUGCCUUAUCACCUUUCGAUGGUAGUUUAUACGCCUACCAUGGGUUUUACGGGUAACGGAGAAUAAGGGUUCGACUCCGGAGAGGGAGCCUGAGAAACGGCUACCACAUCCRAGGAAGGCAGCAGGCA